RNAcentral lists this ribosomal RNA (253 nucleotides) under uncultured bacterium. RNAcentral describes it as "partial 16S ribosomal RNA". It matches the Rfam family "Bacterial small subunit ribosomal RNA", at positions 524 to 776 of the family's 1533-position model. The record is from RNAcentral.
GACAGAGGUGCCAAGCGUUAGGCGGAAUCACUGGGCUUAAAGCGUGUGUAGGCGGAUGGCUAAGUGUCUUGUGAAAUCCCACGGCUCAACCGUGGAACUGCUCGACAUACUGGUCAUCUUGAGCAACCUAGGGGCGAGCGGAACAAACGGUGGAGCGGUGAAAUGCGUAGAUAUCGUUUGGAACGCCAAUGGUGAAAACAGCUCGCUGGGGGUUUGCUGACGCUGAGACACGAAAGCCAGGGGAGCAAACGGG